RNAcentral lists this ribosomal RNA (307 nucleotides) under uncultured Rhodobacterales bacterium. RNAcentral's name for it is "SSU rRNA". It matches the Rfam family "Bacterial small subunit ribosomal RNA", at positions 30 to 367 of the family's 1533-position model. The record is from RNAcentral. Lineage: Bacteria; Pseudomonadati; Pseudomonadota; Alphaproteobacteria; Rhodobacterales.
UUGAACGCUGGCGGCAGGCCUAACACAUGCAAGUCGAGCGCGCCUUCGGGCGAGCGGCGGACGGGUUAGUAACGCGUGGGAACGUGCCCAGAUCUGCGGAAUAGCCACUGGAAACGGUGAGUAAUACCGUAUACGCCCUUCGGGGAAAGAUUUAUCGGUGAAGGAUUAGCCCGCGUAAGAUUAGAUAGUUGGUGGGGUAAUGGCCUACCAAGUCUACGAUCUUUAGCUGGUUUGAGAGGAUGAUCAGCAACACUGGGACUGAGACACGGCCCAGACUCCUACGGGAGGCAGCAGUGGGGAAUCUUGC